This 106-nucleotide small nuclear RNA is filed under the name Choloepus hoffmanni (Hoffmann's two-fingered sloth). Lineage: Eukaryota; Metazoa; Chordata; Mammalia; Pilosa; Megalonychidae. The record is from RNAcentral.
GUGCUCGCUUCCGCAGCACAUAUGCUAAAGUUGGAAUUACACAGAGAAGAUAGCAUGGCCCCUGAGUGAUGAUGACAUGCAAAUUUAUGAAGCAUUCCAUAUUUUU